UUAGGGCUAGGUUCACACUCACACAGACAUUCUCUUUGCUUUGCUCACAUAGCUACUGUCGUCACUCACUUCUCCCUCACCAUCGACGUCGCUCCUUCCUCACCGGGGUCUCUCUUUUCACUCAUCGGCGUCUUCUUUCUCCCUCUCCGGCUCACCCUCUCUCAAAUCGUUGUACGAAGACAAACCAAAGUUCAAAUCAUCACCUUCGUAAACACAAUUGUACGAAGACAAACCAAAGUUUGAAUAAGUUUUCACCUCCCAAUCGACUCUCUCUCGGGUACCGGUGAUAUACCUCUGCAAGGCACUAACUUGGGAGGACUCGGAGCUGAGACUCCAUUUUUGUUUUAUAGCUAUUUAUUAAAUGUAAGCCCAGGGCUAUUUUUGUGUUGAGUUGAAUUUUAAUAAUCAAAUAUGCACACUUGAUGUGGGUUUGAAGUUUUGAUA
Molecule: long non-coding RNA, 444 nt
Organism: Camellia sinensis
Lineage: Eukaryota; Viridiplantae; Streptophyta; Magnoliopsida; Ericales; Theaceae
Source: RefSeq, a predicted model, not a curated record